RNAcentral lists this ribosomal RNA (254 nucleotides) under uncultured bacterium. Its description in RNAcentral is "partial 16S ribosomal RNA". It matches the Rfam family "Bacterial small subunit ribosomal RNA", at positions 524 to 777 of the family's 1533-position model. The record is from RNAcentral.
UACGGGGGGGGCAAGCGUUGUUCGGAAUUACUGGGCGUAAAGGGCUCGUAGGCGGCCAACUAAGUCAUACGUGAAAUCCCUCGGCUUAACCGGGGAACUGCGUCUGAUACUGGAUGGCUAGAGUUUGGGAGAGGGAUGCGGAAUUCCAGGUGUAGCGGUGAAAUGCGUAGAUAUCUGGAGGAACACCGGUGGCGAAGGCGGCAUCCUGGACCAACACUGACGCUGAGGAGCGAAAGCCAGGGGAGCAAAGCGGG